RNAcentral lists this small nuclear RNA (111 nucleotides) under Carlito syrichta (Philippine tarsier). RNAcentral describes it as "U1 spliceosomal RNA (ENSTSYG00000025409.1)". It matches the Rfam family "U1 spliceosomal RNA", at positions 1 to 111 of the family's 166-position model. From Rfam's summary of the family: U1 is a small nuclear RNA (snRNA) component of the spliceosome (involved in pre-mRNA splicing). Its 5' end forms complementary base pairs with the 5' splice junction, thus defining the 5' donor site of an intron. Lineage: Eukaryota; Metazoa; Chordata; Mammalia; Primates; Tarsiidae. The record is from Rfam by way of RNAcentral.
AUACGUACCUGACAGGACAGAUACCAUGAUCACAAAGGUGGUACUCCCAGGGCGAGGCCUUUUCAUUGCACUCUGAAUGUGCUGAUCCCUGCAAUUUCUCCAAACGUGGGA